GUGUGCAAGCGUUGAAUCGGAAUUACUGGGCGUAAAGCGUGCGCAGGCGGUUAUGUAAGACAGUCGUGAAAUCCCCGGGCUCAACCUGGGAACUGCGAUUGUGACUGCAUAGCUAGAGUACGGUAGAGGGGGGUGGAAUUCCGCGUGUAGCAGUGAAAUGCGUAGAUAUGCGGAGGAACACCGAUGGCGAAGGCAGCCCCCUGGACCUGUACUGACGCUCAUGCACGAAAGCAUGGGGAGCAAACAGGAUUAGAUACCCUGGUAGUCCAUGCCCUAAACGAUGUCAACUGGUUGUUGGGAAUUAACUUUCUCAGUAACGAAGCUAACGCGUGAAGUUGACCCCGCCCCUGGGGGGGAAGUACCGGGCCGCAAGGUUGAAACUCAAAGGAAUUGACGGGACCCGCACAAGCGGUGGAUGAUGUGGUUAAUUCGAUGCAACGCGAAAAACCUUACCCACCUUUUGACAUGGUUGGAAUUUGCCAGAGAUGGCUUAGUGCUCGAAAGAGAACCAAUACACAGGUGCUGCAUGGCUGUCGUCAGCUCGUGUCGUGAGAUGUUGGGUUAAGUCCCGCAACGAGCGCAACCCUUACCAUUAGUUGCUACGCAAGGGCACUCUAAUGGGACUGCCGGUGACAAACCGGAGGAAGGUGGGGAUGACGUCAAGUCCUCAUGGCCCUUAUAGGUGGGGCUACACACGUCAUACAAUGGCUGGUACAAACGGUUGCCACACCCGCGAGGGGGAGCUAAUCCGAGAAAACCAGUCGUAGUCCGGAUCGUAGUCUGCAACUCGACUGCGUGAAGUCGGAAUCAGUCUAGUAAUCGUGGAUCAGAAGUCACGGGAAGAAGUC
RNAcentral lists this ribosomal RNA (848 nucleotides) under uncultured beta proteobacterium. RNAcentral's name for it is "bacterial SSU rRNA". It matches the Rfam family "Bacterial small subunit ribosomal RNA", at positions 530 to 1372 of the family's 1533-position model. Lineage: Bacteria; Pseudomonadati; Pseudomonadota; Betaproteobacteria. The record is from RNAcentral.